This 477-nucleotide ribosomal RNA is filed under the name Serinicoccus sp. CUA-874. RNAcentral describes it as "bacterial LSU rRNA". It matches the Rfam family "Bacterial large subunit ribosomal RNA", at positions 2459 to 2925 of the family's 2925-position model. The record is from RNAcentral. Lineage: Bacteria; Bacillati; Actinomycetota; Actinomycetes; Micrococcales; Ornithinimicrobiaceae.
AAAGGUACCCCGGGGAUAACAGGCUGAUCCUGCCCAAGAGCUCAUAUCGACGGCAUGGUUUGGCACCUCGAUGUCGGCUCGUCGCAUCCUGGGGCUGGAGUCGGUCCCAAGGGUUGGGCUGUUCGCCCAUUAAAGCGGUACGCGAGCUGGGUUUAGAACGUCGUGAGACAGUUCGGUCCCUAUCCGCUGCGCGCGUAGGAAACUUGAGAAGAGCUGUCCCUAGUACGAGAGGACCGGGAUGGACGAACCACUGGUGUGUCAGUUGUUCCGCCAGGAGCACCGCUGAUUAGCUACGUUCGGACGUGAUAACCGCUGAAAGCAUCUAAGCGGGAAGCACACUUCAAGAUGAGGUUUCCAACACCCUUUUGGGUGGAGAGGCUCCCAGCUAGACUACUGGGUUGAUAGGCCGGACGUGGAAGCACAGUAAUGUGCGUAGCUGACCGGUACUAAUAAGCCGAUAACUUAACAAACACCCCA